Non-coding RNA from Acanthosepion pharaonis, 93 nucleotides. The record is from the annotation of a GenBank genome assembly. Lineage: Eukaryota; Metazoa; Mollusca; Cephalopoda; Sepiida; Sepiidae.
ACUUGAUUCCCACGCGAUCUCUGAAGUUAAGCAACGUCGUGUUUACUCAGUAUGUCGAUGGGUGACCGCAUGGGAAUACAAGGUGUUGCAAGC